Molecule: ribosomal RNA, 425 nt
Filed under: uncultured bacterium
Lineage: Bacteria
Description: partial 16S ribosomal RNA
Rfam family: Bacterial small subunit ribosomal RNA
Source: RNAcentral
GUAGGGAAUAUUGCACAAUGGAGGAAACUCUGAUGCAGCGACGCCGCGUGAGUGAUGAAGGCCUUCGGGUCGUAAAACUCUGUGAUAAGGGAAGAUGAUGACGGUACCUUAUCAGAAAAGACCGGCUAACUUCGUGCCAGCAGCCGCGGUAAUACGAGGGGUCUAAGCGUUGUUCGGAAUCACUGGGCGUAAAGCGGGUGUAGGUGGCUAUGCAAGUUGGAUGUGAAAGCCCCGGGCUCAACCCGGGAAGUGCAUCCAAAACUACGUAGCUUGAGUGCGGGAGAGAAAGGCAGAAUUCCUGGUGUAGUGGUGAAAUACGUAGAUAUCAGGAGGAACUCCGGUGGCGAAGGCGGCCUUUUGGCCCAGCACUGACACUCAGACCCGAAAGCGUGGGUAGCAAACAGGAUUAGAAACCCGUGUAGUCC